GCCCUUAGAGUUUGAUCCUGGCUCAGAACGAACGCUGGCGGCAGGCCUAACACAUGCAAGUCGAACGGAUCCUUCGGGAUUAGUGGCAGACGGGUGAGUAACGCGUGGGAAGCUACCUUGUGGUAGGGAACAACAGUUGGAAACGACUGCUAAUACCCUAUGAGCCCUAUGGGGGAAAGAUCUAUCGCCAUGAGAUGUGCCCGCGUUAGAUUAGCUAGUUGGUAAGGUAAUGGCUUACCAAGGCGACGAUCUAUAGCUGGUCUGAGAGGAUGAUCAGCCACACUGGGACUGAGACACGGCCCAGACUCCUACGGGAGGCAGCAGUGGGGAAUAUUGGACAAUGGGGGCAACCCUGAUCCAGCCAUGCCGCGUGAGUGAUGACGGCCUUAGGGUUGUAAAGCUCUUUCAGCAGUGAAGAUAAUGACAUUAACUGCUGAAGAAGCCCCGGCUAACUUCGUGCCAGCAGCCGCGGUAAUACGAAGGGGGCUAGCGUUGUUCGGAAUCACUGGGCGUAAAGCGUACGUAGGCGGACUGAUCAGUCAGGGGUGAAAUCCCGGGGCUCAACCCCGGAACUGCCUUUGAUACUGUCAGUCUUGAGAUCGAGAGAGGUGAGUGGAACUCCGAGUGUAGAGGUG
Molecule: ribosomal RNA, 635 nt
Filed under: uncultured Alphaproteobacteria bacterium
Lineage: Bacteria; Pseudomonadati; Pseudomonadota; Alphaproteobacteria
Description: bacterial SSU rRNA
Rfam family: Bacterial small subunit ribosomal RNA
Source: RNAcentral